This 495-nucleotide ribosomal RNA is filed under the name uncultured bacterium. RNAcentral's name for it is "partial 16S ribosomal RNA". It matches the Rfam family "Bacterial small subunit ribosomal RNA", at positions 28 to 507 of the family's 1533-position model. The record is from RNAcentral.
GAUGAACGCUGGCGGCGUGCCUAAUACAUGCAAGUAGAACGCUGAAGGAGGAGCUUGCUCUUCUGGAUGAGUUGCGAACGGGUGAGUAACGCGUAGGUAACCUGCCUGGUAGCGGGGGAUAACUAUUGGAAACGAUAGCUAAUACCGCAUGACAACAGUUAUUGCAUGAUAACUGUUUAAAAGGGGCAACUGCUCCACUACCAGAUGGACCUGCGUUGUAUUAGCUAGUUGGUGAGGUAACGGCUCACCAAGGCGACGAUACAUAGCCGACCUGAGAGGGUGAUCGGCCACACUGGGACUGAGACACGGCCCAGACUCCUACGGGAGGCAGCAGUAGGGAAUCUUCGGCAAUGGACGGAAGUCUGACCGAGCAACGCCGCGGGAGUGAAGAAGGUUUUCGGAUCGUAAAACUCUGUUGUAAGAGAAGAACGAGUGUGAGAGUGGAAAGUUCACACUGUGACGGUAUCUUACCAGAAAGGGACGGCUAACUACGUG